This 104-nucleotide transfer RNA is filed under the name Exserohilum turcicum. Its description in RNAcentral is "tRNA-Lys". It matches the Rfam family "tRNA". From Rfam's summary of the family: Transfer RNA (tRNA) molecules are approximately 80 nucleotides in length. Their secondary structure includes four short double-helical elements and three loops (D, anti-codon, and T loops). The record is from RNAcentral. RNAcentral also lists the same sequence under 1 other name. Lineage: Eukaryota; Fungi; Ascomycota; Dothideomycetes; Pleosporales; Pleosporaceae.
GCCCGGCUAGCUCAAUCGGUAGAGCGUGAGACUCUUAGCUUUCACGUCCUAAAUAGACUCGAUUGGUUAUCUCAAGGUUGUGGGUUCGACCCCCACGUCGGGCU